Molecule: unclassified non-coding RNA, 214 nt
Filed under: plant metagenome
Description: partial contains small subunit ribosomal RNA, internal transcribed spacer 1, and 5.8S ribosomal RNA
Rfam family: 5.8S ribosomal RNA (bases 166-214)
Source: RNAcentral
UUUCCGUAGGUGAACCUGCGGAAGGAUCAUUACAAACGAGGGGGUGAGUGGUGAGUAGGUGAGGACUCGUCCUCGCACUCGUGCUCACCCCACACAUGCACGGGGCCGUGAGGCCCUGAUGUCUGCGCUUGUAUGUUUGACAGAGUCAUGGUGGCAAUUCUAUGCAACUUUUAACAAUGGAUCUCUUGGCUCUUGCAUCAAUGAAGAACGCAGC